This 264-nucleotide ribosomal RNA is filed under the name uncultured bacterium. RNAcentral's name for it is "partial 16S ribosomal RNA". It matches the Rfam family "Bacterial small subunit ribosomal RNA", at positions 90 to 354 of the family's 1533-position model. The record is from RNAcentral.
UCUUAGUGGCGGACGGGUGAGUAACGCGUGGGUAACCUGCCUUAUACAGGGGGAUAACACUUAGAAAUAGGUGCUAAUACCGCAUAAGCGCACGGGGCUGCAUGGCCCAGUGUGAAAAACUCCGGUGGUAUAAGAUGGACCCGCGUCUGAUUAGCUUGUUGGCGGGGUAACGGCCCACCAAGGCGACGAUCAGUAGCCGGCCUGAGAGGGUGGACGACCACAUUGGGACUGAGACACGGCCCAAACUCCUACGGAAGGCAGCAG